AGAGGGGGCAAGCGUUGUUCGGAAUUACUGGGCGUAAAGGGCGCGUAGGCGGCCAACUAAGUCGGACGUGAAAUCCCAAGGCUCAACCUUGGAACUGCGUCCGAUACUGGAUGGCUUGAAUCCGGGAGAGGGAUGUGGAAUUCCAGGUGUAGCGGUGAAAUGCGUAGAUAUCUGGAGGAACACCGGUGGCGAAGGCGGCAUCCUGGACCGGUAUUGACGCUGAGGCGCGAAAGCCAGGGGAGCAAACGGGAUUAGAUACCCCGGUAGUCCUGGCCCUAAACGAUGAAUGCUUGGCGUGGUGGGUAUCGAUCCCCGCCGUGCCGAAGCUAACGCAUUAAGCAUUCCGCCUGGGGAGUACGGUCGCAAGGCUG
RNAcentral lists this ribosomal RNA (371 nucleotides) under uncultured bacterium. Its description in RNAcentral is "bacterial SSU rRNA". It matches the Rfam family "Bacterial small subunit ribosomal RNA", at positions 527 to 896 of the family's 1533-position model. The record is from RNAcentral.